This 688-nucleotide ribosomal RNA is filed under the name Mycoplasma haemofelis. RNAcentral's name for it is "bacterial SSU rRNA". It matches the Rfam family "Bacterial small subunit ribosomal RNA", at positions 564 to 1283 of the family's 1533-position model. The record is from RNAcentral. Lineage: Bacteria; Bacillati; Mycoplasmatota; Mollicutes; Mycoplasmatales; Mycoplasmataceae.
UGCAAGCGCAGGCGGAUGUGUAAGUUCUGUGUUAAAUGCAGCUACUCAAUAGUUGUAUGCACCGAAUACUACAUGUCUAGAUUGUGGUAGGGAGUUUCGGAAUUAAGCAUGGAGCGGUGGAAUGUGUAGAUAUGCUUAAGAACACCAGAGGCGAAGGCGGAAACUUAGGCCAUAAAUGACGCUUAGGCUUGAAAGUGUGGGGAGCAAAUGGGAUUAGAUACCCCAGUAGUCCACACCGUAAACGAUGGGUAUUAGAUGUUAGGGCUUUAGCUUUAGUGUUGUAGCUUACGCGUUAAAUACCCCGCCUGGGUAGUACAUAUGCAAAUAUGAAACUCAAAGGAAUUGACGGGGACCUGAACAAGUGGUGGAGCAUGUUGCUUAAUUCGAUAAUACACGAAAAACCUUACCAAGGUUUGACAUCCCUCGCAAAGCUAUAGAAAUAUAGUAGAGGUUAUCGAGGUGACAGGUGGUGCAUGGCUGUCGUCAGCUCGUGUCUUGAGAUGUUUGGUUAAGUCCCGCAACGAGCGCAACCCCACUCUUUAGUUACUUGUCUAAAGAGACUGCACAGUAAUGUAGAGGAAGGAUGGGAUCACGUCAAGUCAUCAUGCCCCUUAUGCCUUGGGCUGCAAACGUGCUACAAUGGCGAACACAAUGGGUGCAAACCAGCGAUGGUAAGCUAAUCACCGUU